GACGAACGCUGGCGGCGUGCCUAACACAUGCAAGUCGAACGAGGUCCAAGGAGUGCUUGCACUCCUGAAGACCUAGUGGCGAACGGGUGAGUAACACGUGAGAAACCUGCCCCGGACUCUGGGAUAACUCAAGGAAACUUGAGCUAAUACCGGAUACCCUCCUGCGGUCGCAUGGCUGCUUGAGGAAAGUUUUUCGGUCUGGGAGGGUCUCGCGGCCUAUCAGCUAGUUGGUGAGGUAACGGCUCACCAAGGCGACGACGGGUAGCUGGUUUGAGAGAACGAUCAGCCACACUGGAACUGAGACACGGUCCAGACUCCUACGGGAGGCAGCAGUGGGGAAUCUUGCGCAAUGGGCGAAAGCCUGACGCAGCAACGCCGCGUGCGGGAUGACGGCCU
RNAcentral lists this ribosomal RNA (396 nucleotides) under uncultured bacterium. RNAcentral's name for it is "bacterial SSU rRNA". It matches the Rfam family "Bacterial small subunit ribosomal RNA", at positions 28 to 417 of the family's 1533-position model. The record is from RNAcentral.